UGGCACAGGCUGCAGUUUGCAGUGACUGAGAUGUAUCCAGCUGGGUCUUUCUGCUAUCUUGACUGCUGUAGGCGUUGUCAGCAGCACUUGGUAGGGCCC
This is a long non-coding RNA of Melanotaenia boesemani (Boeseman's rainbowfish), 99 nucleotides long. RefSeq lists it as uncharacterized. Lineage: Eukaryota; Metazoa; Chordata; Actinopteri; Atheriniformes; Melanotaeniidae. The record is from RefSeq and is a predicted model, not a curated record. The transcript is spliced from 3 exons.